GAUGAACGCUGGCGGCGUGCCUAAUACAUGCAAGUCGAGCGAACAGACGAGGAGCUUGCUCCUCUGACGUUAGCGGCGGACGGGUGAGUAACACGUGGAUAACCUACCUAUAAGACUGGGAUAACUUCGGGCAACCGGAGCUAAUACCGGAUAAUAUAUUGAACCGCAUGGUUCAAUAGUGAAAGACGGUUUUGCUGUCACUUAUAGAUGGAUCCGCGCCGCAUUAGCUAGUUGGUAAGGUAACGGCUUACCAAGGCAACGAUGCGGAGCCGACCUGAGAGGGUGAUCGGCCACACUGGAACUGAGACACGGUCCAGACUCCUACGGGAGGCAGCAGUAGGGAAUCUUCCGCAAUGGGCGAAAGCUUGACGGAGCAACGCCGCGUGAGUGAUGAAGGUCUUCGGAUCGUAAAACUCUGUUAUUAGGGAAGAACAAAUGUGUAAGUAACUAUGCACGUCUUGACGGUACCUAAUCAGAAAGCCACGGCUAACUACGUG
This 497-nucleotide ribosomal RNA is filed under the name uncultured bacterium. Its description in RNAcentral is "partial 16S ribosomal RNA". It matches the Rfam family "Bacterial small subunit ribosomal RNA", at positions 28 to 507 of the family's 1533-position model. The record is from RNAcentral.